GACAUGUGGCGAUGAGUGUCUUGUGUGUAAGCGUUUGUGUGUGCGUGUGAAAAAGAGAGAGGGCAUGGUUGUUAUCAUUUCUCUCCUCAGACCUUUGUUGAAAGCCUUGGGAUCGAAGGCAGGAUCGUAAUCAUAACGUAGGGGAAGUAUAAUCAUCUCCCUGUAAUUCAGAGUGCACAAAGAGAGAGAGAGGGGGGGAGAGAGGGAGAUUAGUCUUAUACCAUAUAUUGAGAAGCUGCAGGGAAAGAAAAGAAAAGGAAUGAAAAAUAAUAAUUAAAGCCAGAGAGAGGUAUGGAGAUGGGUUAUUCGUGCUCUCUUACUUUUCUUUCAAGGCUACUUUAGAUGGAACUUGAAAGAGUAAAGACCAAACUGAGAAAAGUGUCUCUCCAAAAGCAAGAAGGUGUGUGGGUGUCACCUGAACUGUUUCUUCGAAUAGAGUGAGAGAUUCCUGGAGCUAGCGAGCCAUAGAUAGUUAAAUUUUAAUUACUCAUCUUGGGAUUUUCAAGCCUUUUAAAAAAUAAACUGUCAUUAUUAUGGAGUCUGCAAAUCUCCAUCACCAGCAUCAGCUUCAAGACCAGUUUGUUGGGUCUUCUUCUUUAACUACUGCUACCCCAUCUAGCUAUGCAGAAGCUGGAAGCGCCCGUGCUUGGACCCAAACCAUCACUUUGAAUUCUGACAACUCAAAUCCAAGCUAUAAUGGAGUAAUCUUCAACCAAAGACAGAAAAAUGAGAGUCCAAUCUCUUCUCUCAAUAGCACCAUGUUUCAGGACCUAGGCUUUCAUUACUGGAAUAACAAUGCUGGCAACUUCAGUAGCCAUUCAGCUUAUGACCUACAACUUUCAAAAAUCAAAGAAGGGCUCUCAUCAUCAGAUUCCUUUCCCAAAUUUACCGAGAUGUUAAAUAGCCCUUCAAGUACUAUUGAAGAUCCACAUGUAUCUUCAUCGAGUUACAUUAAAGAUGAGCUGAAGGAUCUGAGUCUUAGUGAAAAGCUCCUUCUCGAGACUAUUUCAUCCGGCUUUCCAAUCAAUGGCCACGAUCAGUUUUCACCCCGGCAGAUUUCCUCUAGUCAUCACAACUGUUCCAGCUUUGGAAGUGCUAUACCCAGCAGAGGGAGCUUUAGUCAGAUAUAUCCUAGUAUAAAUAUUUCAAACUUGAAUCAGCCAUCUUCACCGCUGAUCUCAGGUUCCUUCGACAUGAACUUACAGGCCUUGGAUCUCUUAACCUCUACUAGAUUUAGUGGAAGUUUUCCCCAACCAGCUUCUCUUGAUCCUCUAGACAUGUUCAAAGACAGUCUUUCUUUUGGUCUCGAUAGUAUUCAGCAAUCAAAUCAGAGGCCAUCAUGUAGCCCUAGUAAAAUAUCCUCCACCAAUGAAAUAACAGAGGCUAAAAGGCCCAACAACAGCAUGAUGGAGCCGAAGGCAACCCAAGCAGCUGCACCCAAGAAAUCGAGACUUGAGUCACGCUCUCCCUGCCCUCCUUUUAAGGUUAGAAAAGAGAAAUUAGGAGAUAGAAUUGCAGCUUUGCAGCAGUUAGUUGCACCCUUUGGCAAGACAGACACAGCAUCUGUGCUGAUGGAGGCUAUCGGAUACAUCAAGUUCCUUCAAAACCAGGUCGAGACAUUGAGUGUUCCAUAUAUGAAGUCAUCCCGCAACAAGACCAGUAGAAGCAUUCAAGCGGUAUGAAAAGUGGUUUUCUAACACCUGGCAAUACAAAAGAAUGCGAAUGCACUUGAUGUCCCUUCUUAUAGUUUGAUUGGAAGUUUAAACAGAGGCAUCAAGAUGCUGUUUCGUUGACUUUCCUAGAACAAGAACAAAAUAGAUAUAGUGGAAGUCGAAGGAGAACCCAUCUUUUGCUUAAUUUUGAAGCAUCAAAUUCGGGGGGUGAUCAAGAAUCAAAGAGGGACCUAAGAAGCCGAGGACUCUGCCUGGUGCCACUAUCUUGCAUGUCUUACGUAACGACUGAUGGUGGGGGUGGAGGCAUCUGGCCACCACCUAAUUUUGGUGGAGGGACAUAACCAUGUGGAUUUUAAGCAGUUAUGUUUAACAGUACUUUUGAGCAAAGAUUAAUUCUGAUUUAGCA
Populus trichocarpa (black cottonwood) is the source of this 2079-nucleotide RNA transcript. It is a transcript of the gene named transcription factor bHLH110, with no coding region annotated. NCBI's taxonomy places the organism in Eukaryota, Viridiplantae, Streptophyta, Magnoliopsida, Malpighiales, Salicaceae. The record is from RefSeq and is a predicted model, not a curated record. The transcript has 7 exons.